UGAGGUAGUAGGUUGUAUAGCC
Molecule: microRNA, 22 nt
Filed under: Ovis aries (sheep)
Lineage: Eukaryota; Metazoa; Chordata; Mammalia; Artiodactyla; Bovidae
Description: microRNA let-7a
Source: RNAcentral